GACGAACGCUGGCGGCGUGCUUAACACAUGCAAGUCGAACGGUGAACCAGAGCUUGCUCUGGGGAUCAGUGGCGAACGGGUGAGUAACACGUGGGGCAACCUGCCCCAGACUCUGGGAUAACUCCGGGAAACCGGAGCUAAUACCGGAUACGACUACUUCGGACAUCCGACGGUAGUGGAAAGUUUUUCGGUCUGGGGAUGGGCCCGCGGCCUAUCAGCUAGUUGGUGGGGUAAUGGCCUACCAAGGCGACGACGGGUAGCCGGCCUGAGAGGGCGACCGGCCACACUGGAACUGAGACACGGUCCAGACUCCUACGGGAGGCAGCAGUGGGAAUAUUGCACAAUGGGCGAAAGCCUGAUGCAGCGACGCCGCGUGAGGGACGACGGGCCUUCGGGUUGGUAAACCGUACUUUCUAGCAGGACGAAGCGAAAGUAGGACUGUACCUGCAGAAGAAGACA
RNAcentral lists this ribosomal RNA (459 nucleotides) under uncultured bacterium. RNAcentral describes it as "bacterial SSU rRNA". It matches the Rfam family "Bacterial small subunit ribosomal RNA", at positions 28 to 493 of the family's 1533-position model. The record is from RNAcentral.